AUUUAAGUAGCUUAAAUUUAGAGCAUAACACUGAAGAUGUUAGGGUAAUUAUUUUAAUUCUUAGAUA
This 67-nucleotide transfer RNA is filed under the name Ceratitis capitata (Mediterranean fruit fly). Its description in RNAcentral is "tRNA-Phe". It matches the Rfam family "tRNA". From Rfam's summary of the family: Transfer RNA (tRNA) molecules are approximately 80 nucleotides in length. Their secondary structure includes four short double-helical elements and three loops (D, anti-codon, and T loops). Lineage: Eukaryota; Metazoa; Arthropoda; Insecta; Diptera; Tephritidae. The record is from Rfam by way of RNAcentral.